GAAAUUUUAGUAAAACAAUUAUAUAACUUUGUCAAAGUUAAAUUACAGGUUUAAAUCCUGUAAAUUUCU
RNAcentral lists this transfer RNA (69 nucleotides) under Loxodonta africana (African savanna elephant). It matches the Rfam family "tRNA". From Rfam's summary of the family: Transfer RNA (tRNA) molecules are approximately 80 nucleotides in length. Their secondary structure includes four short double-helical elements and three loops (D, anti-codon, and T loops). Lineage: Eukaryota; Metazoa; Chordata; Mammalia; Proboscidea; Elephantidae. The record is from Rfam by way of RNAcentral.